Molecule: long non-coding RNA, 2122 nt
Organism: Carassius auratus (goldfish)
Lineage: Eukaryota; Metazoa; Chordata; Actinopteri; Cypriniformes; Cyprinidae
Exons: 2
Source: RefSeq, a predicted model, not a curated record
UAAUGUUUUGCUUACUCUUAUUUGGCUUUUAAAUGAACAGCAUUAGCCUCUCUGCUGCCCCCACCAGGUCUGGAGCAUUAUGGUGUUUACGUUAUGUUACAGACUGUACAGUAUACAUCUACAUUUAUUCAUUUAGCUGACGCACAUUGGUGUCUCACAGUGGAUUCAAACCCGGGUCUCUCACACCAAAGGCAUGUGUCUUAUCCACUGCGCUAACACCACCCCAUAAACUGCACAAGGGCCUAUUCCAAUACCUAAACUUGUGCCACUUGAGGGAAUUAAGAGCACAAGACUGUCCUAGGACUGCUAAAUGUCUAAACCCAUACUAUAGGUGCAUCUGGAUUUUAUGCAGAAUUAUUGUAUAAACAGUGUUGUUCACACUGAAAAUUCCAAAAAGCAAAAGGAAACGGAUGAUGCACUUAAAUAACUGAGAAAAGUUAAGUGUGGAAUGUGGGACACUUCUUGCACUUAACGGUCAUAGCUUUAAUUAUGAAGCAGAGGGGAAGGAGCUAACAGAUUCUGAUUAUUAAUGACAAUAUAACCUUAUUAAAUUCACACAGUACACAGUUAAGUACAUAGUGCUUAAAUUCUUAAUGCAUACAUGCAUAGUGUAUAAUAUGCCAUUUGGGACACAAUUUAUCUCUUAUACACUGUUAGAAAAAGAGGUACAAUAGAGGUCCAUUUUUGUUCCCUAAGGUACAAACUUUGCAUAUGUACCCUUAAAAGUACAAAAAUGUAUCUUUAAGGUACAAUUGUGCACCUUUAAGGUACAAUUAUGCACCUUCCAUUGUACAUUGUGAGCUUUUCGAGGUGUAAGGUACAUAUUUGUCCCUUACAUAUUUGUACCUUAAUGUUUAAAUAUAAAAUGGCAGGAAUUAGUGGAUGCUGAAAAUGUCAUCUCUCAAUAUAGAAACACAAGUUAACCUAUACUAUCAAACUCAAUAAUGUCAAACUAAAUUAACUGUGAAGUUUUGAGAUAUGGGCAAAAUAAAUCAGAAUGUGUAAAGUUUUGAGAUAUGGGCAAAAUAAAUCAGAAUGUUUUUUUUUUUUUUUUUUUUUUUGUGAAGUGUCCCUUUGAAUCAUUUUUAAUCAUGUUAAUGAGGAUUAUGUAAUAAUUUAUAUUCACAAACAGUAUUGAAGAAUUUGAUUUUCAAACCAUUUACCCUAUUUAUAUUAGAAUAAAACAGACAAAUAAUUGUUAAUGCUUUAAGUUGUGUUCUAUUGAAAGGAUCUAGCUACAGGCUAACCAGAGUUUGACUCGGCGGAAGCAUAAAUAUUGCAGCGCGGAAGGAUACAUGAGUGAAUCGACAGUGAUCCAACUGUCAGUCUCUGUCAGUGUCGAUCAAAGGUGGGAGGAUGGCCCUUCGACAUUUAUCAACGGAGGAUUUAAUCACGGAAUUAUUUAUUUUGGGGAUAGAGGUCACUGAAGAGGAGAAAAGUAAAUUCAAAGAUAAUGAUGUUGAUGGAGAAGCAGUGGACUCUGGAUUGACUGAGAGGAUGAUUUCAUGCCUCUUUGAAGGGUCGUUUAAGAAGCAAGCCAAAUUCAACUGAUUUGUUCAGCAGUGGAAAAAAAAGCCUGUGAAGUACAUUCAGAGAAGGCUACAGCACAUACAUACUGUGUCAAUGAUAAACAGUUUGUUAGAAUGGGGCAUUUAUGUAAAGCUGUGUUGCGAGGGCUGUAGAGGGUUGUGGAUGAGCUCAAAGCUUGUGUUUUUUUAAUCCAGAACACAUCAAGUGUCAUUUAGUUUAUCCGUUAUUUGACUCUCUUUACUUUUGGUGGUCUUUGAUUAAAAACUCAUGUUUUUCUGCACUAUAUUGCUGUUCUUAUUAGUGAUGUUCAGGAAAUUGAAAGAAGGAAAAUAUAAAUGGUUACAUUGUAUUUAUUCUCUGAUAUCGCUGUUCAUUUUGUUUUUGGAGUGGCAGUAAGUUGUCAGUUUGUCAGUGAAAUGCUUCUUAAAAAAAAUUAAUUAAUUAUUUUUAAUGUUUUUAUAUCAGACAUGACAUCCUAAACAUUGUUACAUUUUAUUUUGGGUUGUUACAUUGAAUGGUUGUGAGAUGAAUUAUUAUUGAAUCUGUGAAUUAAAUUUCCAUUUAAGGACUAAAAUAAAUGUCUUAAAAUUCA